This 909-nucleotide ribosomal RNA is filed under the name Triticum aestivum (bread wheat). RNAcentral describes it as "partial small subunit ribosomal RNA". The record is from RNAcentral. Lineage: Eukaryota; Viridiplantae; Streptophyta; Magnoliopsida; Poales; Poaceae.
AUGUGUUCCUUUCUUCUCCCUCCUGGUGUGGUUGAGCAAAUCGAUCGUAGGCGUCGUGUUUUUGUUUGGACUGGCAAGGAUACUUGCUCGGGUGCUCGCUGUCUAAUUGCUUGGGAUAAGGUGUGUGUUGAUGUGCAGGAAGGUGGCUUCGGGAUCCGCGAUCUUCGACGACAAAACAUGUGCUUGCUUCUCAACUUCGUCCACAAGCUUCACCUCCCAGAGUCUCCGCCUUGGAAGAAGUGGUUCCUGUGCUGCUCCCGCAGCGACAUCGGUGAUUCCACAUUGUCCCCGUCUUUUCUCCAGAGCAUCGUCGACAUGGGUCUGCCGACGUACAGGUCGGUCACCCGCGUGGAGCUCGGGGAUGGCUGCACUAUUUCUUUCUGGCAGGACAGGUGGCUCCUCGGAUGUGCGCUGUGCUUCCAGUUCAAGGCUCUCUUCUCCCACUCGACGCGGCCUAACGCCACCGUCGCGGGUGUCCUUUGGGACGGCAUCUCGCUCCAGCCACGGCUGCCCGCUAUGGCCGCCGCGGAGCUGGAGGCGGUCCGGGUGGUGCUCCACUCCGUCCAUCUCUACCCUAGGGCGGAUCGCCGGAUCAUGGCCUGGGGCCCGGAGACGCGGUUCUCCUCACGUGCAGUGUACCGGGUGCUCUCUCUGCACGACUGUACCGACCUCACCUCCUCCGAGAUUUGGGCCUCCCGCCUCCCCUCGAAGAUCAAGGUGUUCGCGCGUCUUCUCACCGGCGGACGCCUUAGCACGCGGGUGAACCUCCACGCCAAAAGUUGCUCCCCCACCCCGUCAUGCGAGUCUUGUGGUGCUGAUGAGACCAUUGACCACCUCUUCAUCACCUGUACGCGCGCAGCCGAGGUCUGGGGGUGGCUCAGCAUGGGCUCCCUCCUCUGCUCCCCCUGA